AGAGUUUGAUCCUGGCUCAGAAUGAACGCUGGCGGCGUGCUUAACACAUGCAAGUCGUGCGCGAAGGUGACUUCGGUCACCGGAGAGCGGCGAACGGGUGAGUAACACGUGGGUAAUCUGCCUCGGAGUGGGGAAUAACUUGGGGAAACUCGGGCUAAUUCCGCAUACGUCGGCGGGGUUUCGGCCCUGUCGAGAAAGCUGGCCUCUACUUGUAAGCUAGCGCUCUUUGAGGAGCCCGCGGCUGAUUAGCUAGUUGGUGAGGUAAUGGCUCACCAAGGCGACGAUCAGUAGCCGGCCUGAGAGGGUGAUCGGCCACACUGGGACUGAGACACGGCCCAGACUCCUACGGGAGGCAGCAGUGGGGAAUAUUGGACAAUGGGCGAAAGCCUGAUCCAGCAACGCCGCGUGGAGGAUGAAGGUCUUCGGAUUGUAAACUCCUGUCAGGUGGGACGAAGGGGCGUCGGUAAAUAAUCGGCGUCUUUGACGGUACCGCCAGAGGAAGCCCCGGCUAACUCCGUGUCAGCAGCCGCGGUAAUACGGAGGGGGCGAGCGUUAUUCGGAAUUAUUGGGCGUAAAGGGCGCGUAGGCGGCUGUGUAAGUCAAAGGUGAAAUCCCUCGGCUCAACUGAGGAACUGCCUUUGAAACUGCUCAGCUUGAGGCCGGGAGGGGGUGGUGGAAUUCCCAGUGUAGCGGUGAAAUGCGUAGAUU
Molecule: ribosomal RNA, 708 nt
Filed under: uncultured bacterium
Lineage: Bacteria
Description: bacterial SSU rRNA
Rfam family: Bacterial small subunit ribosomal RNA
Source: RNAcentral